GGCCCAAAUUUAAAGUAGAGUAGAUUAGUAGCAUCAGUUGACCGUGAUAAACUGCUGUAUUUCAAAUUUGGGCCC
This 75-nucleotide microRNA precursor is filed under the name Haemonchus placei. RNAcentral describes it as "mir-5928 microRNA precursor family". The record is from Rfam by way of RNAcentral. Lineage: Eukaryota; Metazoa; Nematoda; Chromadorea; Rhabditida; Trichostrongylidae.